Molecule: ribosomal RNA, 273 nt
Filed under: uncultured bacterium
Lineage: Bacteria
Description: partial 16S ribosomal RNA
Rfam family: Bacterial small subunit ribosomal RNA
Source: RNAcentral
UACGAAGGGGGCUAGCGUUGUUCGGAUUUACUGGGCGUAAAGCGCACGUAGGCGGAUCGUUAAGUCGGGGGUGAAAUCCUGGAGCUCAACUCCAGAACUGCCUUCGAUACUGGCGAUCGUGAGUCCGGAAGAGGUGAGUGGAACUCCUAGUGUAGAGGUGGAAUUCGUAGAUAUUAGGAAGAACACCAGUGGCGAAGGCGGCUCACUGGCCCGGUACUGACGCUGAGGUGCGAAAGCGUGGGGAGCAACAGGAUUAAGAAACCCCAGUACGUC